CAGGGUAUCCUUUGACCCUUCUUAUUUCAACCAAAUGAACUAAAAUUUUAAAAUGACACAUUUUUUGGAAAACUAGUUCAUUUGUUUGAACUAAGAAGGAUCAAAGGGUAUCCUG
Non-coding RNA from Brachypodium distachyon (stiff brome), 115 nucleotides. The record is from Rfam. NCBI's taxonomy places the organism in Eukaryota, Viridiplantae, Streptophyta, Magnoliopsida, Poales, Poaceae.